This 127-nucleotide small RNA is filed under the name Marmota monax (woodchuck). Lineage: Eukaryota; Metazoa; Chordata; Mammalia; Rodentia; Sciuridae. The record is from RNAcentral.
GCCGGGUGUCGUGGUGCUUGCCUGUAAUCCCAGUAACUUGGGAGGCUGAGGCAGGAGGAUUGCGAGUCCAAAAUCAGCCUCAGCAAUUUAGUGAGGCCCUAAGCAACUCAGUGAGACCCUGUCUCUA